GAUGAAGAACGUAGCGAAAUGCGAUAAGUAAUGUGAAUUGCAGAAUUCAGUGAAUCAUCGAGUCUUUGAACGCACAUUGCGCCCCCUGGUAUUCCGGGGGGCAUGCCUGUCCGAGCGUCAUUGCUGCCCUCAAGCACGGCUUGUGUGUUGGGCCCCCGCCCCCCGGCUUCGGGGGGCGGGCCCGAAAGGCAGCGGCGGCACCGCGUCCGGUCCUCGAGCGUAUGGGGCUUUGUCACCCGCUCUUGGAGGCCCGGCCGGCGCUUGCCCAUCAACCAUCGAGGACUCGUUCCUCAACCAGGUUGACCUCGGAUCAGGUAGGGAUACCCGCUGAACUUAAGCAUAUCAAUAAGCGGAGGA
This 357-nucleotide unclassified non-coding RNA is filed under the name soil metagenome. Its description in RNAcentral is "partial contains 5.8S ribosomal RNA, internal transcribed spacer 2, and large subunit ribosomal RNA". The stretch from base 1 to 120 matches the Rfam family "5.8S ribosomal RNA", at positions 35 to 154 of the family's 154-position model. The record is from RNAcentral.